This 373-nucleotide ribosomal RNA is filed under the name uncultured Glomus. Its description in RNAcentral is "SSU rRNA". It matches the Rfam family "Eukaryotic small subunit ribosomal RNA", at positions 569 to 949 of the family's 1831-position model. Lineage: Eukaryota; Fungi; Glomeromycota; Glomeromycetes; Glomerales; Glomeraceae. The record is from RNAcentral.
AGCAGCCGCGGUAAUUCCAGCUCCAAUAGCGUAUAUUAAAGUUGUUGCAGUUAAAAAGCUCGUAGUUGAAUUUCGGGAUCAAUACGUCGGUCGUGCUUCGGUACGUACUGGCGUAAUUGAUUUCUCCCUUCUGACGAACCAUGAUGUCAUUAACUUGGUGUCAUGGGAAAUCAGGACUGUUACUUUGAAAAAUUGAGUGUUUAAAGCAGGCUCACGCUUGAAUACAUUAGCAUGGAAUAAUGAAAUAGGACGUUCGAUCCUAUUUUGUUGGUUUCUAGGAUUGACGUAAUGAUUAAUAGGGAUAGUUGGGGGCAUUAGUAUUCAAUUGUCAGAGGUGAAAUUCUUGGAUUUAUUGAAGACUAACUACUGCGAA